GCCUACGGGGCGCAGCAGUGGGGAAUAUUGCACAAUGGGGGGAACCCUGAUGCAGCGACGCCGCGUGAAGGAAGAAGUAUUUCGGUAUGUAAACUUCUAUCAGCAGGGAAGAAAAUGACGGUACCUGACUAAGAAGCCCCGGCUAACUACGUGCCAGCAGCCGCGGUAAUACGUAGGGGGCAAGCGUUAUCCGGAUUUACUGGGUGUAAAGGGAGCAUAGGCGGUGCAGCAAGUCAGAAGUGGAAGGCCGGGGCUCAACUCCGGGACUGCUUUUGAAACUGUUGAACU
RNAcentral lists this ribosomal RNA (288 nucleotides) under uncultured bacterium. RNAcentral's name for it is "partial 16S ribosomal RNA". It matches the Rfam family "Bacterial small subunit ribosomal RNA", at positions 337 to 642 of the family's 1533-position model. The record is from RNAcentral.